Molecule: ribosomal RNA, 498 nt
Filed under: uncultured bacterium
Lineage: Bacteria
Description: partial 16S ribosomal RNA
Rfam family: Bacterial small subunit ribosomal RNA
Source: RNAcentral
GACGAACGCUGGCGGCGUGCCUAAUACAUGCAAGUCGAGCGAAGUUUUUCUGGUGCUUGCACUAGAAAAACUUAGCGGCGAACGGGUGAGUAACACGUAAAGAACCUGCCUCAUAGACUGGGACAACUAUUGGAAACGAUAGCUAAUACCGGAUAACAGUAUUUCUCGCAUGAGAGAUAUUUAAAAGUUGGUUAUGCUAACACUAUGAGAUGGCUUUGCGGUGCAUUAGCUAGUUGGUGGGGUAAAGGCCCACCAAGGCGACGAUGCAUAGCCGACCUGAGAGGGUGAUCGGCCACACUGGGACUGAGACACGGCCCAGACUCCUACGGGAGGCAGCAGUAGGGAAUCUUCCGCAAUGGGCGAAAGCCUGACGGAGCAACGCCGCGUGAGUGAAGAAGGAUUUCGGUUCGUAAAGCUCUGAUGUUAGGGAAGAAUGGAUAUGUAGUAACUAUACAUGUAAGAGACGGUACCUAACCAGAAAGCCACGGCUAACUACGU